GUAACAAGGUCUCCGUUGGUGAACCAGCGGAGGGAUCAUUACUGAGUUUACGCUCUACAACCCUUUGUGAACAUACCUAUAACUGUUGCUUCGGCGGGUAGGGUCUCCGCGACCCUCCCGGCCUCCCGCCUCCGGGCGGGUCGGCGCCCGCCGGAGGAUAACCAAACUCUGAUUUAACGACGUUUCUUCUGAGUGGUACAAGCAAAUAAUCAAAACUUUUAACAACGGAUCUCUUGGUUCUGGCAUCGAUGAAGAACGCAGCGAAAUGCGAUAAGUAAUGUGAAUUGCAGAAUUCAGUGAAUCAUCGAAUCUUUGAACGCACAUUGCGCCCGCCAGCAUUCUGGCGGGCAUGCCUGUUCGAGCGUCAUUUCAACCCUCAAGCUCUGCUUGGUGUUGGGGCCCUACAGCUGAUGUAGGCCCUCAAAGGUAGUGGCGGACCCUCUCGGAGCCUCCUUUGCGUAGUAACUUUACGUCUCGCACUGGGAUCCGGAGGGACUCUUGCCGUAAAACCCCCAAUUUUCCAAAGGUUGACCUCGGAUCAGGUAGGAAUACCCGCUGAACUUAAG
Molecule: ribosomal RNA, 566 nt
Filed under: Colletotrichum sp. ITCC 6155
Lineage: Eukaryota; Fungi; Ascomycota; Sordariomycetes; Glomerellales; Glomerellaceae
Description: eukaryotic LSU rRNA
Rfam family: 5.8S ribosomal RNA (bases 214-367)
Source: RNAcentral